Long non-coding RNA from Amblyraja radiata (thorny skate), 135 nucleotides. RefSeq lists it as uncharacterized. The record is from RefSeq and is a predicted model, not a curated record. NCBI's taxonomy places the organism in Eukaryota, Metazoa, Chordata, Chondrichthyes, Rajiformes, Rajidae. The transcript is spliced from 4 exons.
CAUAGAUGCUGCCUCACCCGCUGAGUUUCUCCAGCAUUUUGUGUUCCAAAGCAUCUCUUUUGCUGUUCCCAUCAUUAAAAAUGUAGAAAAGUACUGGAGUAGGUUGGAGAUCUCAGAACCUGAGGUGACGUUUCA